This 492-nucleotide ribosomal RNA is filed under the name uncultured bacterium. RNAcentral describes it as "partial 16S ribosomal RNA". It matches the Rfam family "Bacterial small subunit ribosomal RNA", at positions 29 to 507 of the family's 1533-position model. The record is from RNAcentral.
AGUGAACGCUGGCGGUAGGCCUAACACAUGCAAGUCGAACGGCAGCACAGUAAGAGCUUGCUCCUACGGGUGGCGAGUGGCGGACGGGUGAGGCAUACAUCGGAUUCUACUAUUUCGUGGGGGAUAACGUAGGGAAACUUACGCUACUACCGCAUACGAUCUACGGCUUAAAUCAGGGGUGCUUCGGACCUUGCCCGACUGUAUGAGCCGAUGUCGGAUUAGCUAGUUGGCGAGGUAAAGGCCCACCAAGGCGACGAUCCGUAGCUGGUCUGAGAGGAUGAUCAGCCACACUGGAACUGAGACACGGUCCAGACUCCUACGGGAGGCAGCAGUAGGGAAUAUUCGGCAAUGGGCGAAAGCCUGACGCAGCAAUGCCGCGUGAGUGAUGAAGGUCUUCGGAUUGUAAAACCCUUUUAUUAGGGAAGAAAAGCAGCGUAAGUAACCCCGCACGUUUUGACGGUACCCAAAGAGAAAGCCACGGCUAACUUCGUG